This 492-nucleotide ribosomal RNA is filed under the name uncultured bacterium. RNAcentral's name for it is "partial 16S ribosomal RNA". It matches the Rfam family "Bacterial small subunit ribosomal RNA", at positions 29 to 507 of the family's 1533-position model. The record is from RNAcentral.
AGUGAACGCUGGCGGUAGGCCUAACACAUGCAAGUCGAACGGCAGCACAGUAAGAGCUUGCUCUUACGGGUGGCGAGUGGCGGACGGGUGAGGAAUACAUCGGAAUCUACUUUUUCGUGGGGGAUAACGUAGGGAAACUUACGCUAAUACCGCAUACGACCUACGGGUGAAAGCAGGGGAUCUUCGGACCUUGCGCGAUUGAAUGAGCCGAUGUCGGAUUAGCUAGUUGGCGGGGUAAAGGCCCACCAAGGCGACGAUCCGUAGCUGGUCUGAGAGGAUGAUUAGCCAAACCUGAAACGAGACAAGGGCCAGACUCCCUAGGGAGGCAGCAGUGGGGAAUAUUGGACAAAGGGCGCAAGCCUGAUCCAGCCAUACCGCGUGGGUGAAGAAGGCCUUCGGGUUGUAAAGCCCUUUUGUUGGGAAAGAAAAGCAGCAGGUUAAUACCCCGCUGUUCUGACGGUACCCAAAGAAUAAGCACCGGCUAACUUCGUG